AUUGCACAGAGGCCUGUUUUUUGCUUUCCCAGUGGGAGUGGCAACAGAAUCCUGGACCUUUGCCACACUGGUUGUGCAAUUCAGAUCACAGUACUUAUAGAGACGGGAUGGUCAGUGCACCAGCAUACUAAUGCAUCCGAUUACUAGACUGGCCAUUGUUAGCAUUUUAUAAAUUAAAGCAAACCCACGAUUUAGUGUCGGAAAAUACCACUCCAUGUGAUUUUAUGAUUGAAGCAUAACUUCACCCCUGACUUCUAAAGGAUAGUUUGGUUAACUCACAGUUCAAGUUUUUAGCUUCUCUAACAGCAGCGUUGACUUUGAAGUUCUCAAACAAGGUAUUAGAAAAAAGACAAACAUUUUCUAGGCAUUUUUUUUCCUCCCCUGCAGCCCAUGAGUAUGCAAGUCGAUGGUUUUCAGUUGUGCAUAAAAAAAAAAAAUCUCUUUGCACGGACAUUAAGAGGAAGAAUAACUUCCAGUUAAAGGGCAACAAGUAACCUUGAUGAGACCAUAGAGUUAUUCUGGGUUUAGCUUUCAUCUAAAAACUGGAUGAAAAGAAGAAUGUUUCAUGGGAAGGGAGGGGAAACUCCAGAACUGCCAUUUUUCUUUCUGGGAAAGCUGUAGAAGCACCACGUUAAAAUUACAAUUUUGACUAAGAUAUCCUCACCCAACAAACCAAAGACAACCAACAACCAAAACACCCAAUGUCUUAAAAAUCAGAGUUCUUCUAGCAAUACAGAAUCAGUGCCUUUUAGUAUCACUGCAUUUCUCUGAUGUAGAAAGCAAGGAACACCAGCUAAAUGAAGCACAAUCAGAUCUGCAAUCAAAUGCAGAACUUUGGCCUUUGGCAUCUCUCAAAAAUGAAAGUGACUACUUUUUCAGGCAGAAGGGAAGAAGCAGGAAAAAAAGAAAAAAAAAGAAAAACCAAAACACAAAGAAACAUCACAACCUCAUUGUUAACUCUCCUUCUUACACAAUCAAUGCAACAAGAAUUCUCCAGAGGCUUCGCAGCACAGCUGAAAAUCUGUCCUGUAAUACAUGCAAGACCACAGCUCAAAACGUCAGAACUGCACUGGCAAUGAUCUGGGCUUGAUCUUUUUGACUUAUACCACAGUAAACCAAAUUGAAUUACAUGGAAUGAAACAAAAUUUCUUGAGUUCUAAAUCAGUACCCUUUUAGAACAAAUAUUGAUGAAAUUAUCCCACUGGUUGGACAGAAGGAUUCAAUACUUUCGGUGAUAAUUUCUUUGAACCAAAGGUUUUGGAUAUAGGGCAUAGGAUAAUAUUGUUUUAAAUAAAGUUAUAUUCAGUCUGUCAUUCUAGAGAAGCUGGAUGUACUGAAAU
This is a long non-coding RNA of Gallus gallus (chicken), 1340 nucleotides long. Lineage: Eukaryota; Metazoa; Chordata; Aves; Galliformes; Phasianidae. The record is from Ensembl.